GAUGAACGCUAGCUACAGGCUUAACACAUGCAAGUCGAGGGGCAUCAGGAAGAAAGCUUGCUUUCUUUGCUGGCGACCGGCGCACGGGUGAGUAACACGUAUCCAACCUGCCCUUUACUCGGGGAUAGCCUUUCGAAAGAAAGAUUAAUACCCGAUAGCAUAAUGAUUCCGCAUGGUUUCAUUAUUAAAGGAUUCCGGUAAAGGAUGGGGAUGCGUUCCAUUAGGUUGUUGGUGAGGUAACGGCUCACCAAGCCUUCGAUGGAUAGGGGUUCUGAGAGGAAGGUCCCCCACAUUGGAACUGAGACGCGGUCCAAACUCCUACGGGAGGCAGCAGUGAGGAAUAUUGGUCAAUGGGCGCUAGCCUGAACCAGCCAAGUAGCGUGAAGGAUGAAGGCUCUAUGGGUCGUAAACUUCUUUUAUAUAAGAAUAAAGUGCAGUAUGUAUACUGUUUUGUAUGUAUUAUAUGAAUAAGGAUCGGCUAACUCCGUGCCAGCAGCCGCGGUAAUACGGAGGAUCCGAGCGUUAUCCGGAUUUAUUGGGUUUAAAGGGAGCGUAGGUGGACUGGUAAGUCAGUUGUGAAAGUUUGCGGCUCAACCGUAAAAUUGCAGUUGAUACUGUCAGUCUUGAGUACAGUAGAGGUGGGCGGAAUUCGUGGUGUAGCGGUGAAAUGCUUAGAUAUCACGAAGAACUCCGAUUGCGAAGGCAGCUCACUGGACUGCAACUGACACUGAUGCUCGAAAGUGUGGGUAUCAAACAGG
RNAcentral lists this ribosomal RNA (758 nucleotides) under uncultured bacterium. RNAcentral describes it as "bacterial SSU rRNA". It matches the Rfam family "Bacterial small subunit ribosomal RNA", at positions 28 to 776 of the family's 1533-position model. The record is from RNAcentral.